This 429-nucleotide ribosomal RNA is filed under the name uncultured bacterium. RNAcentral describes it as "bacterial SSU rRNA". It matches the Rfam family "Bacterial small subunit ribosomal RNA", at positions 355 to 776 of the family's 1533-position model. The record is from RNAcentral.
UAGGGAAUCUUCCACAAUGGACGAAAGUCUGAUGGAGCAACGCCGCGUGAGUGAAGAAGGUUUUCGGAUCGUAAAACUCUGUUGUUGGAGAAGAAUGUAUCUGAUAGUAACUGAUCAGGUAGUGACGGUAUCCAACCAGAAAGCCACGGCUAACUACGUGCCAGCAGCCGCGGUAAUACGUAGGUGGCAAGCGUUGUCCGGAUUUAUUGGGCGUAAAGCGAGCGCAGGCGGUUUCUUAAGUCUGAUGUGAAAGCCUUCGGCUCAACCGAAGAAGUGCAUCGGAAACUGGGAAACUUGAGUGCAGAAGAGGACAGUGGAACUCCAUGUGUAGCGGUGAAAUGCGUAGAUAUAUGGAAGAACACCAGUGGCGAAGGCGGCUGUCUGGUCUGUAACUGACGCUGAGGCUCGAAAGCAUGGGUAGCAAACAGG